This is a long non-coding RNA of Chinchilla lanigera (long-tailed chinchilla), 1012 nucleotides long. RefSeq lists it as uncharacterized. The transcript has 2 exons. The record is from RefSeq and is a predicted model, not a curated record. NCBI's taxonomy places the organism in Eukaryota, Metazoa, Chordata, Mammalia, Rodentia, Chinchillidae.
GCGCGCCGCUUCCGCCUGGGUGGGAAGGGCCUCCCCUCCCCCAGCGAGAAAGUCUGCUGCCCGACCUGGUAAACCUCACCAAUGCCCUGGAUGAACCCAGGGCCUUCACACUGAGAUUUUGUUAUGUUGAGGCAGUGUCUCGCUAAGUUGGCCAGGCUGGGCUUGAACUUGGAUCUUCCUGCCUCAGCCUUGCAGAGUGCUGAGAUUACACCUGUGUGCCUCCAUGCCCAAUUCAAUUUUUUGUGUGGGAGAGAGCUGAACAGACUGCCUUCUGUAGCAGAAGUCAGUGACCUUUGAGGAUGUGGCCGUGAACUCCACCCAGGAGGAAUGGACUUUGCUGAAGUCUUCCCAGAAGAAUCUUUACAGAGCUCCGACCUUCUAGAACUUGGCCUCUGUAGGUCAAAAAUGGCAGUACCCAACCAUUGAAGAUAAUUUAAAAAAUCUCAACAGAAAUCUAAGAUGUCGAGUGCUAGAGAGAUUCUUUGAACAUAAAGUAGACAACGUGGAAAAAUGUUCAGCAAGACUCCAGAUCAUAGAGUGAACAAGAAAAACUCUAGGGUAAAAUGACGGAAAAGCCACAUGUAUAGAGAAGUGUCCAGUAGUCUUUGUUUCUGAGGGACAUCAUAAUUAACCGUGGACAUAGGCCAUCUGCGUAUCAGGACUGUAUAGACAGGCCCCUUGAAUGUAAAAAAUGUGAUAAAACUUUUAAGUGGCCCUGUGACCCUUGAAAUUAUGAAAGGACUCACAUUGGAGAAUCAUACCUCACAUGUACUUAACUUUGGUAUAACUAUUUCAGUCAACUGGAAAAUUUCGUUUUUGUUUUUUUUCAACUGAAAAACUUUGAGCUUUAAUAGGUAUCGUAUAACAUUUUACUGCUUUGGGAACAGUUCAAGGAUCUUCAGCCAGUUUGCCUAAGCAUUGCCUAAGCAUUCUCAGAUUUUAGUUUCAUAUUUUUAAAGUGUGCUUAUGAUAACUUUAUAGAUGAUUCAUUAAAUCCAUUUUGAGUAUCUUG